CGACGUAAAGAACUUGCCUCACAGCUAGGGACAACAUUUGGAAACGAAUGCUAAUACCUAAUAUUAUGAUAAUAGAGCAUCCUAUAAUUAUGAAAGCUAUAAGCGCUGUGAGAGAGCUUUGCGUCCCAUUAGCCAGUUGGAGAGGUAACGGCUCACCAAGGCGAUGAUGGGUAGCCGGCCUGAGAGGGUGAUCGGCCACAAGGGGACUGAGACACGGCCCUU
RNAcentral lists this ribosomal RNA (222 nucleotides) under uncultured bacterium. RNAcentral's name for it is "partial 16S ribosomal RNA". It matches the Rfam family "Bacterial small subunit ribosomal RNA", at positions 113 to 334 of the family's 1533-position model. The record is from RNAcentral.